CAGUCGCCGCGGUAAUACGAAGGGGGCUAGCGUUGUUCGGAAUCACUGGGCGUAAAGCGCACGUAGGCGGAUACUUAAGUCAGGGGUGAAAUCCCGGGGCUCAACCUCGGAACUGCCUUUGAUACUAGGUAUCUUGAGUCCGGGAGAGGUUGGUGGAACUCCGAGUGUAGAGGCGAAAUUCGUAGAUAUUCGGAAGAACACCAGUGGCGAAGGCGGCCAACUGGCCCGGUACUGACGCUGAGGUGCGAAAGCGUGGGGGGCAAACAGGAUUAGAUACCCCGGUAGUCCCUGUCUCUUAUAC
RNAcentral lists this ribosomal RNA (301 nucleotides) under uncultured bacterium. Its description in RNAcentral is "partial 16S ribosomal RNA". It matches the Rfam family "Bacterial small subunit ribosomal RNA", at positions 509 to 807 of the family's 1533-position model. The record is from RNAcentral.